GACGAACGCUGGCGGCGUGCUUAACACAUGCAAGUCGAACGGAAAGGCCCUGCUUUUGUGGGAUGCUCGAGUGGCGAAAGGGUGAGUAAAACGCGAGUAACCUGCCCUUGACAUUGGGAUAACUUCAGGAAAAUGGGGCUAAUAUCGGAUAGGAGCACCUGCUGCACGGUGGGGGUUGGUAAGAUUCGGCGGUUGGGGAUGGAAAGGUGGCCUAUCAGCUUGUUGGUGGGGUAGUGGCUUACCAAGGCUUCGACGGGUAGCCGGCCUGGGAGGGUGACCGGGCACAAUGUGACUGAGGUACGGGCCGGAGUGCUACUGGGGGAAGCGGUGAGAAAUAGUGCACAAUGGGCGGCAGCCGGGUGGAGCAACGCCGCGUGCGGGAUGACUGUCUUCGGGGUGUAAACCGCUUUCGCCUGUGACGAUGCGUGAGUGACGGUAAUGGGUAAGGAAGCACCGGCUAACUACGUG
Molecule: ribosomal RNA, 468 nt
Filed under: uncultured bacterium
Lineage: Bacteria
Description: partial 16S ribosomal RNA
Rfam family: Bacterial small subunit ribosomal RNA
Source: RNAcentral